This 253-nucleotide ribosomal RNA is filed under the name uncultured bacterium. RNAcentral describes it as "partial 16S ribosomal RNA". It matches the Rfam family "Bacterial small subunit ribosomal RNA", at positions 524 to 776 of the family's 1533-position model. The record is from RNAcentral.
UACGUAGGGGGCGAGCGUUGUCCGGAUUUAUUGGGCGUAAAGAGCGUGUAGGCGGCCAGGUAGGUCUGCUGUGAAAACUCGAGGCUCAACCUCGAGACGUCGGCGGAAACCAUCUGGCUAGAGUCCGGAAGAGGAGACUGGAAUUCCUGGUGUAGCGGUGAAAUGCGCAGAUAUCAGGAGGAACACCGGUGGCGAAGGCGGGUCUCUGGGCCGAUACUGACGCUGAGACGCGAAAGCGUGGGGAGCGAACAGG